GUGGGGAAUCUUAGACAAUGGGCGCAAGCCUGAUCUAGCCAUGCCGCGUGAGCGAUGAAGGCCUUAGGGUUGUAAAGCUCUUUCGUGGGGGAAGAUAAUGACUGUACCCCAAGUAGAAGCCCCGGCUAACUCCGUGCCAGCAGCCGCGGUAAUACGGAGGGGGCUAGCGUUGUUCGGAAUUACUGGGCGUAAAGCGCACGUAGUCGGACUGGAAAGUCAGGGGUGAAAUCCCGGGGCUCAACCCCGGAACUGCCUUUGAGACUCCCAGUCUUGAGUUCGAGAGAGGUGAGUGGAAUUCCGAGUGUAGAGGUGACAUGCGUAGAUAUUCGGAGGAACACCAGUGGCGAAGGCGGCUCACUGGCUCGAUACUGACGCUGAGGUGCGAAAGCGUGGGGAGCAAACAGGAUUAGAUACCCCUGUAGUCC
RNAcentral lists this ribosomal RNA (425 nucleotides) under uncultured bacterium. Its description in RNAcentral is "partial 16S ribosomal RNA". It matches the Rfam family "Bacterial small subunit ribosomal RNA", at positions 354 to 796 of the family's 1533-position model. The record is from RNAcentral.